AGCAUCGGGCAGCUAUGAGAAGUCUGGGGAUAAUAAGAAAUCUAAAAUAAAAGAAGAAGAAGAAUCUGGAAAGGAGAUUAGAAUCACAUUUGGAGAGAGUGAUAUAGGAGUGGCUGAAAAACGCCCAGGGGAACACUUUAACAGGUUCCAGCUGUGCUGCCCAAACAGCUCUGACCCACUGAGGCAUGGAUUCCACAAGACCUCUGAAGGUGUGCUGUGGUAUCUGGCACCAAGACGUUAACAGCAGAUACUUCAUGUCCUGUAAAUUGCGAGUUGUGGCCUCCAUGGAUCGGACUUGUUUGUCCAGCACAUCCCACAGAUGCUAGAUCAGAUUAAGAUCUGGGGAAUUUAGAGGCCGAGCCAACACCUUGAACUCUUAAUCAUGUUCCUCAAACCAUUCCUGAACAAUUCUUGCACUGUGGCAGGUUCAUUAUCCUGCUGAAAGAGGCCACUCCCAUGCCACAGAAGGUGUAUACUUGGUCAGCAACAGUGUUUAGGUAGGUGGUACGUGUCAAAGUAACAUCCACAUGAAUUCCAGAACCCAAGGUUUCCCAGCAGAACAUUGCCCAGAGCACUUCCUCCACCAGCUUGGCUUCUUCCCAUGGUGCAACCUGGUACCACCUCUUCCCCAGAUGCCAGUGAUCCUGACCCUUUCUGCUCUCCGGAACUGCCUGAUCCAUCCUGAUGCCCUACCUCUGGCUGGAGCUCUCUUCAACUGGAGGCUACAUUCUGCCACUGAGGUUGACACCAAGCAGUGCAGUCUUGAGAUUGUUGAGGAUGGUACCGCUUGAAGUACCAUGGAAAAGGUUUUGGACCUCAAUUCCACAUGGACAUUCUCGCUGUGGUUGCUGGGACUACGGUUCCUGCUAUGGCUUUAGGACUGAAAUUACCACAUACAAUUUUGCACUCAAGUCUCCUUUAGUGAACAGUGGACUAGAUUAACAAACAGUCUUAAUGAACAUAAUGAACUUCCCUUUACUUUCACACUAUCCGUUGUUACCCAGAUGAGUAUGGGUUCCCUUCUGAGUCUGUUUCCUGUCAAGGUUUCUUCCUCAUAUCAUCUGAGGGUUUUUCCCAAGCCACCAUCGCCACCGGCUCGCUCAAUAGGGAUAAAUCCACACACUUAAAAUCUGUAUCCUGUGUUUAUAUGUUUCUGUAAAGGUGCUUUGAGACAAUGUCCAUUGUUAAAACCGCUUUACAAAUAAAACUGAAUUGAUUC
Long non-coding RNA from Ictalurus punctatus (channel catfish), 1219 nucleotides. Lineage: Eukaryota; Metazoa; Chordata; Actinopteri; Siluriformes; Ictaluridae. The record is from Ensembl.